Molecule: long non-coding RNA, 421 nt
Organism: Mastomys coucha (southern multimammate mouse)
Lineage: Eukaryota; Metazoa; Chordata; Mammalia; Rodentia; Muridae
Exons: 4
Source: RefSeq, a predicted model, not a curated record
GGCUGUAUGUAGAAGAUUAAACCACUUAAAAAUUCCAGCAGCCCUAAAAGCUGACUUUGGGCUGGACGUGAUGGCUCUGUAUCCUGGUCAAAACAGCUAGGAGUACACAGAGAACUUCAACAAAACAACAAAAAGAAUUUACUUUGGUACUUAUCUGGACUCAACCAGUCUUUAUCAUAAGUCUUCUUCCACUAUUUUAAUGAAGAAAUAUACUAAGGAAAAAAAAUCACUGAUCUGAAUUGUGUCUUCACAAGUUCAUAUCCUGCCUAUACUUCAGAAUUUAUGAUGGAAGUACCAGAAGAGAACAUCUUCUCUAGCCCUUCUAGAGCUUAUGUUGAGCAGGGCAGGCCUGCCACCAAGCCGGUAACACGACAUCAUAUAAGCAGCAAAGAUGCUGGAGAACUACGAAGCAGAUGGAGAA